CUCGAAGCAGUGCAAUGACCACUUUCUCAGAAUCGGCAGCGAGCAUAGAAUGUGAAGGUGCACUGCGACGUAAGAGCAUAUUUCAUCGAUUCUUUACUUAUUCUGAGAAGAGGAUCGAGCCUUGGCUCUUUUUUCUUAGUGUUAAGCACGGCCACCUCGUGGCCGUGCGACUCUCGCAGAAGACAGUGUCAGGAGUUUGAAUGAGGCGGUGCAUCUGUCAAACCGUAACGCAGGUGUCCUAAGGCUAACUCAGAGAGGACGGAAACCUCUCGUAGAGCAGAAGGGCAAAAGCUCACUUGAUCUUGGUUUUCAGUACGGUACAGGCCGCGAAAUUGAUCUUAUCGAUCCUUUUGAUCCAGGGCCGGAUUCAUCAACGACUUACAGCAAUUUAACAAAAAAAAAAUUACAGCCGAAAUCCCUGAUAGCGCGGCUUAUCAAGCGAUGUGGUGGGCCAUAAGCCGCGGCAUUUGAGUUUUCCACUGUGAAUUCUCUGUUAAAGUUAUGUAAGUCGUUGAUGAAUCCUACCCUAGGUGGUUUCUGGUAAGAGGUGUCAGAAAAGUUACCACAGGUACCACUGGGUUAGUUUUACCCUAUUGUUGACUAAUUGUUGCGAUAGUAAUCCUGCUUAGAACGAGAGGAACAGCAGGUACAGACAUUUCGUCCGAAGCUACCACCUGGGGGAUUAUGACUGAACGCCUCUAGGUCAGAAUCCCACCUAGUCAAGGCAGCUAUAACUUUGUUUCCCGGUGUCGGGAGACAACUAUCUCGUGGCAACACGAGAGCUUAUGCCCUAGUAAAUGAUCUUGCCGGAAUGGAUAAUCCCUGCUGGUUGUCAAAGCUAGAUCACUCUGGUUCAAUGUUUUUCAGUUUAAGUGAUCAGUAUAUUUAGACCAUCUGUUCUGCUUGCUGUGGUUGUAUUACUACACGUCCACACAUAAGUUGUGUCCAUAAAUAAA
This is a non-coding RNA of Heligmosomoides polygyrus, 956 nucleotides long. NCBI's taxonomy places the organism in Eukaryota, Metazoa, Nematoda, Chromadorea, Rhabditida, Heligmosomidae. The record is from Rfam.